Molecule: small nucleolar RNA, 133 nt
Filed under: Vicugna pacos (alpaca)
Lineage: Eukaryota; Metazoa; Chordata; Mammalia; Artiodactyla; Camelidae
Source: RNAcentral
CGUGUUCAGUUUCCAACUCCAUGAUGAAUUCCCAGAUGUAGGUAGUGUGCUGCACAAAGGGCAAGUUUUUCACUAAGAUCACAAAAGUCUCUGGCCCAAUGAGCGGAGUUUGAUAGUAAUACUUGGGACAAGC